This 412-nucleotide ribosomal RNA is filed under the name uncultured bacterium. RNAcentral describes it as "bacterial SSU rRNA". It matches the Rfam family "Bacterial small subunit ribosomal RNA", at positions 358 to 769 of the family's 1533-position model. The record is from RNAcentral.
GGAAUAUUGGUCAAUGGGCGCAAGCCUGAACCAGCUAUGCCGCGUGCAGGAUGAAGGCCUUCAGGUCGUAAACUGCUUUUAUGCGAGAAAAAUAAGCUUCUGCGGAAGUGAAUGAUGUUAUCGCAUGAAUAAGCACCGGCUAACUCCGUGCCAGCAGCCGCGGUAAGACGGGGGGUGCAAGCGUUAUCCGGAUUUACUGGGUUUAAAGGGUACGUAGGCGGUCUUAUAAGUCAGUGGUGAAAACUAACAGCUCAACUGUUAAAGAGCCAUUGGUACUGUAAGACUUGAGUGUAGCUGAAGUGGGUGGAAUUCUACAUGUAGCGGUGAAAUGCAUAGAUAUGUAGAGGAACACCAAUAACGAAGGUAACUCACUAAGCUACUACUGACGCUGAGGUACGAAAGCGUGGGGAGC